This 375-nucleotide ribosomal RNA is filed under the name uncultured fungus. RNAcentral's name for it is "eukaryotic LSU rRNA". It matches the Rfam family "Eukaryotic large subunit ribosomal RNA", at positions 40 to 398 of the family's 3401-position model. Lineage: Eukaryota; Fungi. The record is from RNAcentral.
AUAUCAAUAAGCGGAGGAAAAGAAACUAACAAGGAUUCCCCUAGUAACUGCGAGUGAAGCGGGAAAAGCUCAAAUUUAAAAUCUGGUGGUCUUAUGGCCUGUCCGAGUUGUAAUCUAGAGAAGCGUGCUAUCCGCGCUGGACCGAUGCUACAAGUCUCCUGGAAUGGAGUGUCAUAGAGGGUGAGAAUCCCGUCUUUGACAUGGACUGCCAGUGGCUUCUGUGAUGCGCUCUCAAAGAGUCGAGUUGUUUGGGAAUGCAGCUCAAAAUGGGUGGUGAAAUUCCAUCUAAAGCUAAAUAUUGGCGAGAGACCGAUAGCGAACAAGUACCGUGAGGGAAAGACGAAAAGAACUUUGGAAAGAGAGUUGAAACAGUAC